Molecule: ribosomal RNA, 649 nt
Filed under: uncultured eukaryote
Lineage: Eukaryota
Description: SSU rRNA
Rfam family: Eukaryotic small subunit ribosomal RNA
Source: RNAcentral
CGAUCGCAUGGCCUUGCGCCGGCGAUGGUUCAUUCAAAUUUCUUCCCUAUCAACUUUCGAUGUUUGGGUAUUGGCCAAACAUGGUUGCAACGGGUAACGGAGGGUUAGGGCUCGACCCCGGAGAAGGAGCCUGAGAAACGGCUACUACAUCCAAGGAAGGCAGCAGGCGCGCAAAUUACCCAAUCCCGAUUCGGGGAGGUAGUGACAAUAAAUACUGAUACAGGGCUCUUUUGGGUCUUGUAAUCGGAAUGAGUACAAUUUAAAUCCCUUAACGAGGAACAAUUGGAGGGCAAGUCUGGUGCCAGCAGCCGCGGUAAUUCCAGCUCCAAUAGCGUAUAUUAAAGUUGUUGUAGUUAAAAAGCUCGUAGUUGAACCUUGGGCCUGGCUGGCCGGUCCGCCUCACCGCGUGUACUGGUCCGGCCGGGCCUUUCCCUCUGUGGAACCCCAUGCCCUUCACUGGGUGUGGCGGGGAAACAGGACUUUUACUUUGAAAAAAUUAGAGUGCUCCAGGCAGGCCUAUGCUCGAAUACAUUAGCAUGGAAUAAUAGAAUAGGACGUGCGGUUCUAUUUUGUUGGUUUCUAGGACCGCCGUAAUGAUUAAUAGGGACAGUCGGGGGGCAUCAGUAUUCAAUUGUCAGAGGUGAAAUUC